UGCGCCCGUGGUCCAAUGGAUAUGACGUAGGCCUCCGAAGCCUGAGAUAAAGGUUCGAUUCCUUUCGGGCGCGUCCA
Molecule: transfer RNA, 77 nt
Filed under: Paenibacillus marchantiophytorum
Lineage: Bacteria; Bacillati; Bacillota; Bacilli; Caryophanales; Paenibacillaceae
Also listed under: 2 other names
Description: tRNA-Arg
Rfam family: tRNA
About the family: Transfer RNA (tRNA) molecules are approximately 80 nucleotides in length. Their secondary structure includes four short double-helical elements and three loops (D, anti-codon, and T loops).
Source: RNAcentral